Salmo salar (Atlantic salmon) is the source of this 54-nucleotide non-coding RNA. The record is from Rfam. NCBI's taxonomy places the organism in Eukaryota, Metazoa, Chordata, Actinopteri, Salmoniformes, Salmonidae.
AAUGCACCAAUUUGUAAGUCGCUCUGGAUAAGCGCGUCUGCUAAAUGGCGUGAA